Molecule: ribosomal RNA, 747 nt
Filed under: Bacillus sp. (in: firmicutes)
Lineage: Bacteria; Bacillati; Bacillota; Bacilli; Caryophanales; Bacillaceae
Description: bacterial SSU rRNA
Rfam family: Bacterial small subunit ribosomal RNA
Source: RNAcentral
UGAUGUGAAAGCCCCCCGGCUCAAACCGGGGAGGGUCAUUGGAAACUGGGAAACUUGAGUGCAGAAGAGGAGAGUGGAAUUCCACGUGUAGCGGUGAAAUGCGUAGAGAUGUGGAGGAACACCAGUGGCGAAGGCGACUCUCUGGUCUGUAACUGACGCUGAGGAGCGAAAGCGUGGGGAGCGAACAGGAUUAGAUACCCUGGUAGUCCACGCCGUAAACGAUGAGUGCUAAGUGUUAGGGGGUUUCCGCCCCUUAGUGCUGCAGCUAACGCAUUAAGCACUCCGCCUGGGGAGUACGGUCGCAAGACUGAAACUCAAAGGAAUUGACGGGGGCCCGCACAAGCGGUGGAGCAUGUGGUUUAAUUCGAAGCAACGCGAAGAACCUUACCAGGUCUUGACAUCCUCUGACAACCCUAGAGAUAGGGCUUUCCCUUCGGGGACAGAGUGACAGGUGGUGCAUGGUUGUCGUCAGCUCGUGUCGUGAGAUGUUGGGUUAAGUCCCGCAACGAGCGCAACCCUUGAUCUUAGUUGCCAGCAUUCAGUUGGGCACUCUAAGGUGACUGCCGGUGACAAACCGGAGGAAGGUGGGGAUGACGUCAAAUCAUCAUGCCCCUUAUGACCUGGGCUACACACGUGCUACAAUGGACAGAACAAAGGGCUGCGAGACCGCAAGGUUUAGCCAAUCCCACAAAUCUGUUCUCAGUUCGGAUCGCAGUCUGCAACUCGACUGCGUGAAGCUGGAACUCG